RNAcentral lists this unclassified non-coding RNA (6009 nucleotides) under Daphnia pulicaria. RNAcentral's name for it is "uncharacterized LOC124310857, transcript variant X1". The record is from RNAcentral. Lineage: Eukaryota; Metazoa; Arthropoda; Branchiopoda; Diplostraca; Daphniidae.
UGGGAGGAGUCUUAAGGUCGUACCAGUCGGAUCAGUCUCGAGAUAAUUACGGAUUCUGUUAACAUAUAGAUUCCAAUAACCUUGCUGGUGAAGAAUGAGCUAAUGAAUUUGUAACCAAAAUGUAAACCCAAUUUUAAAAAAGAAAAAAAAACAAAAACGAAAUGUCUUCGUUAUGCCUAUCUUACUCAGUUCUCUAUUCUAUUUCAAUUCGUUAAUUUAUUUUGAUCACCGGGGCUAGCCUUCCAUCUUUUUGUCUAAGAAUUCUUUAUUUAAAGAUGAUCGCAGUGAAUUUUAAAUCUAGUUGGCCUUGUUUUUCUUUUUAGUUAAAAAAAAUAGGUCGGCAUCAAGAAAUAACAACUCGUCAUGUUAAAGCGUGUUUUGUUUUGAUUAUUUGUGUUAAAGGCUUAAAGCGUGAUGGGUUAGCGACUUUUCAUUCGUCUCCAAUAUCAAUCCAUUACAGAAAAUGGAUUUUUUUUAUCAAUGCAAGUAAUUUGAAAACCCUAACAUUAAUUUUAAUUGAGCUAAAAUUAGUUAAAGUAUAUGGUAGCUAUAUGCAUUGCAACAUUUUUUAACUGUCCAAAGUGUAGCAUGUGCAUGUAUUUGUUUGAUCAAAUCGUUUCUUUAUAUGUCAGAUUUAUAUGAAUAUAUUUUAAGAAAAUAGAUAUUUCGUUGUUUCAAAUAAUCCUGAUUCACGCGGGUGCUUUCAAAAUUUUAAAAUGAAACCAGUAUCAGGUGCUUCGGCCAUCAUGGGAAAAAUUUCUGAUGUAAAUGUGUCAAGUCACCCAAUACUGCCAUCAUGUGAUUCGCAAAUUUAUUUGGGCGGUGGUUCUUGUUAUUAUUUUUAGAUUUAGCUGGUAACAACUAGCGAUGCUUAUGCUUGCGUAAGCGAAAAUAUCUGGCUCCUUAGUCCUUACGUCACAAAACAACUUGAAAAAAAAAUGUAAAAAUUGAUGUUCUCGAUUUCCUUGGAAAUCCGUAAUCAUCAUAUUUGAAUUCCACAAUAAAUAGAAUGUAGAAAACUAGGUCAUAUGAUUUUUUCUGAAAUAAUAUCCCUAUUGGUUGAAAUCAGAAAUAAUAUUGUUGCCACUUUUGCCGAACUGCACGUUUGAUUUAAUUAGAUUUUGAAAAGCAAUGAAGAUUUAUCGGAAAUGGUAUUUUGUUAUUCCUUAAAAAAAAUAUUAAAGGGUAUCUAUUUAACAAUAUGUUUUGUUUCGUUCGUGGAUUAAGUUGUUUUGUGUUUACCGCCUUUUGCUUCCGUGCCCCAACUCACGGAACCACGAUCCGAGUCCUUGUGCUGUCUGGUUAAAUUAUUUCAGGAACCUCCCGGUGUUAGGACGACGACGCUGUUGUUUGCUGAAAUAAUUGCUAUGGAUUCGUGUGAUAUCAUUUGAUUUCAACAGCAGAACGCGGCUAAAAUAAAAUUAUGUGUUAGUUUUAACCUAAAGUGAAUGAAAAUACCGACUGAAUACAAAUGAAUGUUUUAACUGUGUGUGUGUUAUUUGCAAUUUUUUUAAAUCGUGUUGUUAAGAAUAAAACCGAAGACAUGGACACACGGUAUAAUAAAGAUGAAGUGUGUGGAGCCACGAGCCAUAGAAGACCGAGGAUUUUUAGUUGCCAUGACAUUAUUCCUGCAAUUUAAUUUUCCAUUUUGUUAGUCCGCAGUUUUACCGUCUUCAAUGUUCUUCAAGAACAUUGGGAAAAAAGAAUAAAAGAUGGCCGAUCUACUGAAGUACUCAUCAUCCUCGUUGUGUAAAGGCGUAAGAUUCUGACAAUUUUUAAGGUUAAAUUUGAACUUACUUGCACCUUGCACGAUCAAAAAGCUGCGAUUCUAAAAGACUGGGGAGGCCAGGCAACUGCCAGGAAUCUGAAUAUUCUGGUAGCAUUAUGAGCACCCGUUCCAGGAGUGUUAGAAAAAGUUUGCAACCAACAUUUAAACAGCAGGGUUCUAUGCCUGAUAGAUGUGUACACAAAUUCAAAGGCAGAGAUGAAAAUUUGAAACUAAAUAAGACUGAUGAAAUGGAGAAUAAUUUAGAAGAUCCUACUUCCAGAGUAUCUGAACCAAAAUGCAAGAGAGAAGAAAGAAAAAGAAGGGUGGACCUGAAGUGUUUCCAGCCAACAGAUUGGUUGUCUUCAAUAAAGCCGUGUAAAUCACCUUUCUAUCCUCAAGUGGGAGAUGAAGUCAUGUACUUUAAACAAGGUCAUGAAAUGUAUGUAGCUGCUGUGCAACAAAAAAAUCUUUAUGAAAUCAACCCAGAUUUACUUCCUUGGACUAAACAGAUCAUUCAGCAACAAGAGUGGGUUAAAAUCAUUGGUAUAGAGUUUGAGAUCAAACCACCGAGACUUGUAUGCUUGAAACUCGGAAUAAUCGAUCCGGUCAGUGGAUUGUUAACGCGAAAAUGUUUUUCUAUCGAAUAUCAUGAUAUGGACGACAUUCAGGAUUUCUUGGUGUUAAAACAGGAUUAUGAUAAGGCCGUUAAGCGCCCCUGGAAGCGUUUGCAACAAUUCCGAAGUCUCAUGAAUGAUGAUUGCGGAGUUCAAAUGUGGUGGGAAGGACAAUUCAUAAAAAGUGAACCAUUGGACGCUAAGUUUCCUGAGUCCAUGUUCUUGUGCUACUGCGUCAGGUGGGAUAAUGGUGAUCAUGAACGUCUUAGCCCAUGGGAAUUGGAAAAUAUUGAUCCAGGUAGAAGACCUUGUAGGACUGGUGCCAGUGUUAAUUUACUGCCGAUUGAGAUUUGUAGCUCGUUGUACACACCCCAAACGUGUGAUUGGCCCCCCCUAGGUGAUCGAGAUUUCGAAUGUGAUCGAAUAUCCAAAGGAAUUAGCCAAGUCAUGAGUCUUUAUGAGGCUAAACAUUUUUGUGCACCCGUCAACCUUGAAUUGUUCCCUGCCUACGCUUUUACUGUCAAAUACCCAAUGGAUCUUUCGACUAUCAAAGCUAGACUUGAACAUCGCUUUUAUCGUCGCUUAGCUGCAGUCGAGUACGAUGUUCUUCGUAUACGCACCAACGCGCUCAUAUUCAACGAUCCCGAAAAAUCUGAUAUUGUUAGAAACUCUUCCAUCAUCUCUGACUUAUGCCUGGAAAUUAUCCGAAACAGUGACCUUGAUAUCUCAACAUUUUAUUGUGAACUCCUGGAAAAGUACAAAGUUCAUGGAAUCAAAGUAAAGGGGUCAGUGGUAAAGCUCCCCGUUGCAAAACAUCAAAUCGAACAAUCGACUUCUUUCGCUCUUACUUUCACCAACGUUGUUACUGGUUCGAGCCGUUCAUCGACAUCAAAACAGAAAUUAGUAUUCAAUCCUACUCAGGGAUCUUCUUCAUUUGUGUCAUCUAAUCAUGCUUCUGUCAAGCUCUCCUCAUCUUUCACCGUUGAACCUAUUGUUGAUGAUUUGACCACGGAUAAUUACAAAACUAGUGAAAGCUUGACUCACCAGAACAGCCGCAACUCAGAGACUGCCACUACAAGCACAAUGAAAAAGAAAGUUACCAGUCCGAUUGGCGUACAAGUUGAGCAGUCGCUUAAAAGAAGGAAAACAACAUCGGUAAUCGCUCCGACAGCCAUUUCCAGCGACGAGCAAUUUUCAGGCACAACUAUUCAAGAGUGCGAUACUUCUUUGUCUACUUAUCUCAACCAAAAUGCACCAGUUACCACGAAGAAUGUUUUGAAAAGGAAGAGUGUGACGAAAGAAAAUCUUGAUACUACAUGCACUACGGUAUCUUCAUUGCCUAGGGUGGGCAGUGAUGGAAUUCUGGCAGUCAAUUCUACAGAGUAUGUCCAUUCCCACAUCGACUGCUCAAGUAUGGGAAUUUGCGAAGAAAGCAGCGUCCUCUCCCAAAAUGAGAUUUUUUCUCCAAUGAACAAUCAUCUGAACUUCACAAGAAUUCUACCAGCAGAAAAGAAUCCACGCUUGUUCAUUCCUAACAAAACGCCUGUUAGUGUUCCAAUUACUCCUUUUCCCACUCCUAUUCCUAUCGCCAUUUCCACACCUGUGCAAGUUUGUCCAGAGACAUCAUCAUUGUCUACAAACAUUUCACUGAAAAAAGCGGAUAAAUAUGCGUCGAAGAGCUUGUUAUCUAAAAAUCUAUUCGGUUCUGAGAAAAGGAUCAAUUCCAGAAAAUUGAAAUCGGGUGGAUGGAGUGUUUCAUUACACGACUUCCCCUCCAAAAAAGCUUACAUCCUAAUAGAAGAUAAAUCACCGCAAUCGUGUCUACCACAACAAGGUUCGUUGUUUGAAAGAGUUGAAAUGGAGUCGUGUUUUUCUUCGAACACUUUACAUCAUUGUCCCGAAUCCAAAACGAUAUCUUCGCCUUCAGUUACUCAAGAAAUCUUGACACCUGAUGCCAAAGUGAUGAUUGACUCAUAUCCUACCGUUUCGGCGUUUUUAAAUUUAGACACUAAAUCGAAACAGAGAGAAGAUCAUGCUCAAGUAGAAGAUCCCCGUGUUUCAUUUGCCAUUCCAUCGAUUCAAAGUCCUUUGUUUCCUGAAGAAAGUGAAUCAUCACCUUCAUUUCAAUCUGCGGAUGUACUUAUCGAACAAAUUCUUGCCGAAUCCAAACUUACUAUGCUGAAGCAGAAGACUAAGAGGAAGAAGAAAAAAAGUGAACUUUCUGCGUGUUUUGACUUCUCAAAGUUAGAUGAAGAUUGCCGAGAACCCUUCCAAAAAAAAUUAAAGAAGAGAGAAAAUUGUUUCAAAGAAAGGGAUUCUUUAGCUUCAGAUGUCAUUCCGCUCGAAGAAAUUAAAAAACAAUCACUAAACCCGGAGGUUACGCUGACUCCCACGAAUUUUGUCGACUACGUUUCGUAUGAAAAGGGUAUACUUCCUGUAAGUUUGAAAUCAAGACUCACGAUGGAACGCCAACUCAGUGUCUCUACAAACAAAACUAGUUCCAGGAAAAAUAAAGGCAAAUCCUCCGAAGCAACGGGUUGCAACAAACAUUCUGUGUUACCUGAAGAUAAUCAAUCACUUUUAUCUCAAUCCGCAGACGAACUUAUCGAACAAAUUCUUGUUGAAUCUAAACGCACUAUUCUGAAGGAGAAAGCUAGCAAGAAGUCAGAAAAGAAAAGGAAGAUAAAAUCCAAAUUGUCUGUUAUUCCACCUUUGUCGAAGGCAAACAAUGAUUGCCUAGAACCCUUGCAAGCAAAAUCGAAGCUCAAGAAAAUUCAUGCCAGAAUUGGACAUUUCCCCGCUUUAAAUGCGAUUCCAGUCGAGGAUAACCAAUCUGUAGAAAAUGAGGUUACGCUCACGCCUACGAAUUUUGUAGACGGUAAUUCAUAUGAAAAGGGUCGAACCACUUCUACUCUAAAGGAGUUGCCCGCGUUGGAAUGUCAAGUCGCUGUCUCUACAAACAAAACUGUCUCUAAAGAAAAGAAGCACAGAUCCUCUGAAGGAAUUUGUCACAACCAACAGUCUGUAUUUUCUGAAGAAAGCGAAUUUACUUCAUCUGAAUCCGUUGACGCACUUAUCGAACAGAUUCUUGCUGAAUCCAAAGGCGAUAUUCUGAAGCAGAAGACUAGCAGGAACAAAUCAGUAAAGAAGAAAGAAAGUAAAGUACGUGUCAUGCCCAUUUCGCGUUUGUCGAUGUUAGACAAAGAUUGCCAAGAACCUCCAAAAAGAAAAUCGAAGCACGGAAGAAAUUGUACCCGAGUUACCGAUCAUUCUGCGUUCACUGAAGAAGGCGGAUCAAUUUUGAUGCAAUCCGAUGAUGCAAUUAUUCAAGAAAUUCUUGCUGAAUCCAAACGUUCCGUUCUGAAGCAGAAGACCAGCAAGAAAAGGACGUCAGACAUUUCACGUUCGUCGAACAAGGAUUGCCACCAAAUGGGAGUAAAUAUCUCGGCUUUUAAGAGAACCCUCUAAAUUGUUGGGAGAACCCAGCCAAUACAGAUCAGCAAAUAUCUUCUUAGAAAAUAAGGGUCACCUACAAAUUCAUCACUCUUAAGUCUGAGGGAUGUUCUUAGCAUCAACCAAGAAGCCUAUAUCACUUAGAAGAAAAAGAAGACAAACAAUUGAAUGUUA